GUGCUUUUGGAGGCACCACUCCUGCAGUCAUCAUCUGCGUCCUGCUACUACUUGGUCCCUUAGUAAAGCUGGCCAGUGGAGGUGGUGGGUUUAGUGGGAACUUCCCUUUAUGUGCUACAGUAUACGUAGAAUCAAAAGAGGUCCUUGUCACGCCUAUCGCCCCCUUGUCCUGUCCAAUUGCACCUCUGCUUUUGUAGCCAAAUUAAUGGCCUCAGUUAAGGAAUAGAUGGUAUGCAUUGCCUCUCUUGUAUAUUCAAACGCAAUCCUCCAAUGAACCUAGCAACUUGUUGCGCAUCCGUUUCCAACAGGUUUGUAACACCCUGUAAUUUAGUACAUUCAUAAAAGGACUUUGAGCCUUAACUUUAAAAAAAUGGGUAUUUUUUUUUCAUCCACCGAACUUAUCUGAGACUUGUCGAAAUUUCCACUGAAAUUUCGGCAAAGUUUCCUUUAUACCUGGAGUCCCAAGUUAUCGACAAUCAUCCUGUACAGUUAUACUCAUUUCUCAAUCAUACCAUAAUCAUGUAGAACCUCAACAACACAUCAUUCAUGGUAUAUGCCUCACAUUUCGCAUGUUCAUUUCUUUCCCAUUAACACACAUAAUUCAUAAUAAUUACACCCAUAAUUCAUAAUAAUCGGAAGUAAAUAAACUAAGAUUACAAAUACAGAAUAGUACAUUUUUAUGUCCCGACACUUAAUGUAAAAGGAGUACUAUUACAUGUUAAGUCAUUUAGUUCCUUAAAGACAAAAUACAUUAAUGUUCAUCUUCUUAUUCAAUCAUAUGAAAGGAGACUAGAGGACCUAAAACGCUACUCUUGGCGUGAAUCUGAAGGACCUGCAAUUUCAUAAUGUAUAUAAUAAAUAUAGCAUAAAAGGAAAAUCACACAAUACAUGCACCGGUAAUUAAACAUAUAUUCAACGAUAUGCAAUCAUGGUUCCUUGAAAUUCUCAUUUGUCCUUCCAUUAUUACGUCUCUAUUCAUCCUUCCUAGAAUCAUUUAACAUUUUCAUUUUAUAUCUCGUUUCACCUCACGAGCGCAUUUAAUUUGUUAUAAUAUCUACCACGUGAUUUCUCUCUCUUACUCUAUCUCUUUAUAUCAAUUUCAAUCCCAACAUCUAUUAUACCCGUUAUGGCUUUUCCAUAUAAAUCGUCAAACUCGUCAUGAUUUCGGUCCAAUUUUAGUUUAUAAAUAUAUUCAACUUACAUAUUUCUUGUGCCCAUUUCGACACAUUCCAAUGUUUCUUUAGAUUUUCAGUAAAAUCUCUCAUUAUUAUGGAACCUACCAUCAUUUUCACAAUAUUCACAUCCGACCCAUCUUCAAAUAAUAUGAAUAUCAUACAUACAUCAUUCUAUUUAAUUCAUCAACCUAAUCUCAUUCGACCACUAUAAUUAAGGCCAUAUUUCAUUAUCUAUCACUAUUAUUGGCAUUUUAUUACACUAUUAUAAUUAUCACCAAAUUCUUAUCAUGCCAGCAACAACACAAAUCCUUAAUACAAUAUAUUUAUAUUAUUAGUCAUAAUUUCUUUGACAUCCUCCAUGUGCGCAGUAUAUGAUUCUCAAAUUAUAUCAAUUACAAUUCAUCAAUUAAUUCAAAAUACAUCACACACACACACACACACACAUAUAUCAUUGCAUUCCUUAAGUGUAUAACACCUACCAUGGUUAAUGGACUUCUAUUCUCACGUCUCAAAGCAAUAUGAUAUUUGCCGCCAUGCUUCACAAGAAUUUAGAUCUUCAUCAGUUAUUUAUUUAUUUAUUUCUUCAAUAAUCCAUAACAUAAACACAAAUUACCAUUUUUUUAUUUAAUAGUUAGGUGUCAUCCAACAUUCCAUUUAUAAUCUGACAAGUCAAUCAUCCCGGCAAUAUUAACACCACACAAGUAAGUUUAACUCAAGUUGCAUAUUCCGGUCAUUAGAAAACAAAACUGAUGCCACUAGCCCAUCACCGGGUAACUAGUUCCUCCGCCCAUCUUAUUCCAUAAUUUCCGAUCAAUAUCCACCUCUUCAAGGCCGAAAGAAUAAUCCUAUCAAGAUGUCAAUCCCCAUUUCAUUAAUAUUUUUAAUUAUUCCAUAUCGGAAAUAUCAUUAUAAUACCUCUCCCCUAAAACUUGGAACGGAAUGCUGACACUAAUAAAUUUUAAUUAGUGUUAUUAGUCUCCCAUAUCUGGAUCGGCUAAUCAAGUUCAUUGUAAAUGUCAAAAUUAAUACCACUGAUUGAUGUCAUUGACUAUUUCUAACUUGAAAUAGCCAAUCAGAUUUUUCUUUUCAUAAUAUCUUGGAAUAUUUCCGGAAAUGUUGAUGUCAAGAUUCUUGACAUCAUUAGCUUUCACUUCAGGAAUAGCUAGUCAAGUUUCAUGUGAUUGCCGAUAUCAACAACACCGGUCGAUAUCAUUAACUAUUCUCACCCGAAUAGUUAAUCAAAUUCAGUAUCCCUCAUUUUCAGGGAUGAUUAUGCCGAUGUUAGUAAACCUUACUAACAUCAUUAGCCUCCGCAUUCAGGAUUGGCUAAUCAAGUUUCGUGUGAUUGCCGAUAUCGACAGCACCGGUCAAUAUCAUUAACUAUUCUCACCCGAAUAGUUAAUCAAGUUCAGUAUCCCUCGUUUUCAGGGAUGAUUAUGCCGAUGGAUUAUUAUGCCGAUGUUAGUAAACCUUACUAACAUCAUUAGCCUCCGCAUUCAGGACCGGCUAAUCAAGUUUCGUGUGAUUGCUGAUAUCGACAGCACCGGUCAAUAUCAUUAACUAUUCUCACCCGAAUAGUUAAUCAAGUUCAAUAUCCCUCAUUUUCAGGGAUGAUUAUGCCGAUGUUAGUAAACCUUACUAACAUCAUUAGCCUCCGCAUUCGGGACCGGCUAAUCAAGUUCGAGGAAUGAUCAUCUACGUAAAAAGUGUAGGUAUAGAACACCUACCAGCUGCAGAAGCUCAACUCGCUCUUCCUUGUUGUUGUUGUGCCCCUCCUGCAAUCCCUCCUUAAGCUCCUACUACACGAGCUCUUGAGAAGUCGAGUGAAUGCUUCUCCUACUUUUUUAAUAUAACAUCUUGAAUCAAUAUUUGAAUCUUCCCGAUUUAUUCAUAAUAUUCAUAAAUUCACAAAAUCAAAUAACAAUUUCCAUGGAUGUUCAAAGACAUGAAUUCUCGUCACCGAUUUUCUAAUGUCCCAAGACAUUUAAUCUAUCACCAAACAAUGUAAUUUAACUUAAAUUUCAUCAAUGACUACACAUGCCAAAUUUUUCCAAAGCACACUCAAAAUGAUUCCUUAUAUCAUAAUUCAACUUACAACAUCCUUUACCAUGAUUUCCCAUUCCAACAUAACCAAAGUAUUAAUCAAUCACUAUUCUUUAUAGAAUUUAACUAUACCAUCACUUAUCAACACAUCAAACAUGACUCAAACACAACACAAACACAACCAUCAUCAUUAAACCUAUUGCCAUUAUCCUUAGUCCCAAAACAUACUUUUUAUGCUAAAGCUCAGAUUCUCAUUCAAUAUUUCUCAAACCAAACUUAAAACAUCAUUCUGUAAAUUUAGAAUUCAAUAAAUCCAAACGGUGUAAUUAUACAUCAUCAUCGUUAGAAUAACAUAUCCAAAAUUAACAUACAUCCAACGGUUAAAUCUCCUGAUAUCAGAACAAUACCGGACUGACCUGAAAAUUGGAGACCUACUGUUCGGGAAAUACAGUUUCUGGUAGGAGUGUUUGUUUCCGAUCGUAACCGUUCAGAAUUUAUAUAACAUCUGGAUUAACAACAUAUCCAAAAUCCAGACCAAUCCAACGGUGAAAAAAUGAUAUAAUGUCCGACGAACAAGGCUGUCUUGAAGGGUGAUUUUCCAGAAAUGUUCCUCCGGUGACAGCCCUCAAACAAAGUCUGCUAUUUACAAUCCCUCCGGUCAGAAUGUAGGUGACAUUGAGUAUAAUAACAUAUCCAAAAGUAAAUCUAAUCCAACGGUGGAAAGUCAAAAUAUGGCUGCCGAAGUUCCUGCCCUGUUGCAAUCCCAAAACUCAUAAUUUCAAAUCAAUUUAUUCCUUCAAUUUUUCAGCAAAUCAAGCCAUUAUCAUGCAAUUAAUCUUGAAAUUCACAAGAAUAAUUACUCCCCCAAAAUAUUUACAUGAACCCUAAAAUUUUAAACUUGGAGGUUUUCUUCUCCUCAUGCAAGAACAAGAGAGAAAAACGAAAUUACUAAAGGGUAUGUUGCUUACCUUUGCUACUUUAACUUAUUUCAAUGAAUUCUUGCAAAAAUUUACAAAAAUCAUGUCCUCCUCUUCCAAUUUCCAGCUUCUUCCCUUUGUUUCUCUCAAGCUCUAUAACUCUUUAAGUUGUCACUUAAUUUGUUUUCUUGGAUAUAAUCCUCCAGAGAACACUCACUUUUGAUUUAGCUUGAAGAAAUGAAGAGAAAAUGAAGAAAAUGGGACAAAACAAAUGGUCUCCCUCCUGUUUUUCCAUUUGCAGAGGACG
Molecule: long non-coding RNA, 4442 nt
Filed under: Populus trichocarpa (black cottonwood)
Lineage: Eukaryota; Viridiplantae; Streptophyta; Magnoliopsida; Malpighiales; Salicaceae
Description: long non-coding RNA (PTRI_LNC003940)
Source: RNAcentral